Molecule: ribosomal RNA, 759 nt
Filed under: Haemophilus influenzae
Lineage: Bacteria; Pseudomonadati; Pseudomonadota; Gammaproteobacteria; Pasteurellales; Pasteurellaceae
Description: bacterial SSU rRNA
Rfam family: Bacterial small subunit ribosomal RNA
Source: RNAcentral
AUUGAACGCUGGCGGCAGGCUUAACACAUGCAAGUCGAACGGUAGCAGGAGGAAGCUUGCUUUCUUGCUGACGAGUGGCGGACGGGUGAGUAAUGCUUGGGAAUCUGGCUUAUGGAGGGGGAUAACUACGGGAAACUGUAGCUAAUACCGCGUAGAAUCGGAAGAUGAAAGUGCGGGACCGCAAGGCCGCAUGCCAUGAGAUGAGCCCAAGUGGGAUUAGGUAGUUGGUGGGGUAAAGGCCUACCAAGCCUGCGAUCUCUAGCUGGUCUGAGAGGAUGGCCAGCCACACUGGAACUGAGACACGGUCCAGACUCCUACGGGAGGCAGCAGUGGGGAAUAUUGCGCAAUGGGGGAAACCCUGACGCAGCCAUGCCGCGUGAAUGAAGAAGGCCUUCGGGUUGUAAAGUUCUUUCGGUAUUGAGGAAGGUUGAUGUGUUAAUAGUACAUCAAAUUGACGUUAAAUACAGAAGAAGCACCGGCUAACUCCGUGCCAGCAGCCGCGGUAAUACGGAGGGUGCGAGCGUUAAUCGGAAUAACUGGGCGUAAAGGGCACGCAGGCGGUUAUUUAAGUGAGGUGUGAAAGCCCCGGGCUUAACCUGGGAAUUGCAUUUCAGACUGGGUAACUAGAGUACUUUAGGGAGGGGUAGAAUUCCAUGUGUAGCGGUGAAAUGCGUAGAGAUGUGGAGGAAUACCGAAGGCGAAGGCAGCCCCUUGGGAAUGUACUGACGCUCAUGUGCGAAAGCGUGGGGAGCAAACAGG